Molecule: ribosomal RNA, 497 nt
Filed under: uncultured bacterium
Lineage: Bacteria
Description: partial 16S ribosomal RNA
Rfam family: Bacterial small subunit ribosomal RNA
Source: RNAcentral
GAUGAACGCUGGCGGCGUGCCUAAUACAUGCAAGUCGAGCGAACAGACGAGGAGCUUGCUCCUCUGACGUUAGCGGCGGACGGGUGAGUAACACGUGGGGAACCUACCUAUAAGACUGGGAUAACUUCUGGAAACCGGUGCUAAUACCGGAUAAUAUAUUUAACCGCAUGGUUCAAGAUUGAAAGACGGUUUUGCUGUCACUUAUAAAUGGAUCCGCUCCGCAUUAGCUAGUUGGUAAGGUAACGGUUUACCAAGGCAACGAUGAGUAGCCGCCCUGAGAGGGUGAUCGGCAACACUGGAACUGAGAACCGGUCCAGACUCCUCCGGGAGGCAGCAGUAGGGAAUCUUCCGAAAUGGGCGAAAGCUUGCCGGAGCAACGCCGCGUGAGUGAUGAAGGUCUUCGGUUCUUAAAACUUUGUUAUUAGGGAAGACCAAAUGUGUAAGUAAAUAUGCACGUCUUGACGGUACCUAAUCAGAAAGCCACGGCUAACUACGUG